RNAcentral lists this ribosomal RNA (497 nucleotides) under uncultured bacterium. RNAcentral's name for it is "partial 16S ribosomal RNA". It matches the Rfam family "Bacterial small subunit ribosomal RNA", at positions 28 to 507 of the family's 1533-position model. The record is from RNAcentral.
GACGAACGCUGGCGGCGUGCCUAAUACAUGCAAGUUGAGCGCUGAAGGUUGGUACUUGUACCAUCUGGAUGAGCAGCGAACGGGUGAGUAACGCGUGGGGAAUCUGCCUUUGAUCGGGGGACAACAUUUGGAAACGAAUGCUAAUACCGCAUAAAAACUUUAAACACAAGUUUUAAGUUUGAAAGAUGCAAUUGCAUCACUCAAAGAUGAUCCCGCGUUGUAUUAGCUAGUUGGUGAGGUAAAGGCUCACCAAGGCGAUGAUACAUAGCCGACCUGAGAGGGUGAUCGGCCACAUUGGGACUGAGACACGGCCCAAACUCCUACGGGAGGCAGCAGUAGGGAAUCUUCGGCAAUGGACGAAAGUCUGACCGAGCAACGCCGCGUGAGUGAAGAAGGUUUUCGGAUCGUAAAACUCUGUUGGUAGAGAAGAACGUUGGUGAGAGUGGAAAGCUCAUCAAGUGACGGUAACUACCCAGAAAGGGACGGCUAACUACGUG